UACGUAGGGGGCUAGCGUUGUCCGGAUUUAUUGGGCGUAAAGAGCUCGUAGGUGGUUCGGUAAGUCGGAUGUGAAAUCUCCAGGCUCAACCUGGAGGGGUCAUUCGAUACUGCCGUGACUAGAGUUCGGUAGAGGAGUGUGGAAUUCCUGGUGGAGCGGUGAAAUGCGCAGAUAUCAGGAAGAACACCAAUGGCGAAGGCAGCUCUCUGGGACGGUACUGACGCUGAGACGCGAAAGCGUGGGGAGCGAACAGG
This 254-nucleotide ribosomal RNA is filed under the name uncultured bacterium. RNAcentral describes it as "partial 16S ribosomal RNA". It matches the Rfam family "Bacterial small subunit ribosomal RNA", at positions 524 to 776 of the family's 1533-position model. The record is from RNAcentral.